This 63-nucleotide transfer RNA is filed under the name Flavobacterium sp. WLB. Its description in RNAcentral is "tRNA-Arg". It matches the Rfam family "tRNA", at positions 6 to 65 of the family's 71-position model. From Rfam's summary of the family: Transfer RNA (tRNA) molecules are approximately 80 nucleotides in length. Their secondary structure includes four short double-helical elements and three loops (D, anti-codon, and T loops). Further hydrogen bonds mediate the characteristic L-shaped molecular structure. tRNAs have two regions of fundamental functional importance: the anti-codon, which is responsible for specific mRNA codon recognition, and the 3' end, to which the tRNAs corresponding amino acid is attached (by aminoacyl-tRNA synthetases). tRNAs cope with the degeneracy of the genetic code in two manners: having more than one tRNA (with a specific anti-codon) for a particular amino acid; and 'wobble' base-pairing, i.e. permitting non-standard base-pairing at the 3rd anti-codon position. Lineage: Bacteria; Pseudomonadati; Bacteroidota; Flavobacteriia; Flavobacteriales; Flavobacteriaceae. The record is from RNAcentral.
CGUAGUUCAACUGGAUAGAAUAUCAGAUUUCGGCUCUGAGGGUUGGGGGUUCGAACCCCUCCG